UACGUAGGGGCAAGCGUUGUCCGGAUUUAUUGGGCGUAAAGAGCGUGUAGGCGGCCAAGCAGGUCCGCUGUGAAAACUCGAGGCUCAACCUCGAGACGUCGGUGGAAACCGUUUGGCUAGAGUCCGGAAGAGGAGAGUGGAAUUCCCGGUGUAGCGGUGAAAUGCGCAGAUAUCGGGAAGAACACCCGUGGCGAAGGCGGCUCUCUGGGACGGUACUGACGCUGAGACGCGAAAGCGUGGGGAGCGAACAGG
Molecule: ribosomal RNA, 252 nt
Filed under: uncultured bacterium
Lineage: Bacteria
Description: partial 16S ribosomal RNA
Rfam family: Bacterial small subunit ribosomal RNA
Source: RNAcentral